This 450-nucleotide ribosomal RNA is filed under the name uncultured bacterium. Its description in RNAcentral is "partial 16S ribosomal RNA". It matches the Rfam family "Bacterial small subunit ribosomal RNA", at positions 354 to 796 of the family's 1533-position model. The record is from RNAcentral.
GUGGGGAAUAUUGGACAAUGGGCGAAAGCCUGAUCCAGCCAUGCCGCGUGUGUGAAGAAGGUCUUCGGAUUGUAAAGCACUUUAAGUUGGGAGGAAGGGCAGUAAGUUAAUACCUUGCUGUUUUGACGUUACCGACAGAAUAAGCCCCGGCUAACUUCGUGCCAGCAGCCGCGGUAAUACGAAGGGGGCGAGCGUUAUUCGGAAUCACUGGGCGUAAAGCGUGCGUAGGCGGUUUUGUAAGUUAGGAGUGAAAGCCCAGGGCUCAACCUUGGAAUUGCUCUUAAAACUGCAAGGCUCGAAUCUCGGAGAGGAUAGCGGAAUUUCCAGUGUAGCAGUGAAAUGCGUAGAUAUUGGAAGGAACACCAGUGGCGUAAGCGGCUAUCUGGACGAGUAUUGACGCUGAGGCACGAAAGCGUGGGGAUCAAACAGGAUUAGAUACCCCAGUAGUCC